AGGAUACGGUUAACGGAGCGAAAGCGACGUUCAACCUCAAAAGAAGCAGAGGGGGCUUAGUGGUGGGGUGACUGCGUACCUUUUGUAUAAUGGGUCAGCGACUUAUAUUCUGUAGCAAGGUUAACCGAAUAGGGGAGCCGGAGGGAAACCGAGUCUUAAUUGGGCGUUAAGUUGCAGGGUAUAGACCCGAAACCCGGCGAUCUAGCCAUGGGCAGGUUGAAGGUUGGGUAACACUAACUGGAGGACCGAACCGAC
Molecule: ribosomal RNA, 255 nt
Filed under: Salmonella enterica subsp. enterica serovar Lubbock
Lineage: Bacteria; Pseudomonadati; Pseudomonadota; Gammaproteobacteria; Enterobacterales; Enterobacteriaceae
Description: partial 23S ribosomal RNA
Rfam family: Bacterial large subunit ribosomal RNA
Source: RNAcentral